GCGCCGGCCACUUCCGGGAGCUCCCUCGGAGGCGCCGGCUCGCCGGGACCACGACUCCCAGAAUGCGCCACGCUGCCCAACGGGCGCGCGCGCGCUCACCUGGGACCUCCGCUCCCGAGCUCACAGCGCGCACGCGGCCCUCCCGUCCCCCGGAUCCUAGUCCCCGGGAGGCCGCGGGCCGCCUCCUGCGCACCCUCGGGGUACGCCGGGAGUUGUAGUCUGGGCGGGCAGUGAGCGGACGGCUGGCCCACGGGGGUCGCGGCGGAGGGCUCACAGGGCAAAUUUGUCUCAUGGUGAUGGCAGAGAUGCCUGCAGGCUUGAGGCCUAGGCUCAGAACUAACAUACUAGCAGUUCCACUCAGAUUCUAUUGAGAUUCUAGAAAGCAAGUCACAUGGCCACACCCAAAGUCAAGAAGAGGUAACCAUGCGGCCUUUGGUGAAAGGAACGACAUAUAUGGCCAAAGAUCAAGGAAGGUGACCACAGAGCAUAUUCAAAGACCUGCUGCAGUUCCUUAUGGGGGUAAUAAAGGAGGUCAUCAGAAAA
Molecule: long non-coding RNA, 543 nt
Organism: Zalophus californianus (California sea lion)
Lineage: Eukaryota; Metazoa; Chordata; Mammalia; Carnivora; Otariidae
Exons: 3
Source: RefSeq, a predicted model, not a curated record